UUGGAGGGCAAGUCUGGUGCCAGCAGCCGCGGUAAUUCCAGCUCCAAUAGCGUAUAUUAAAGUUGUUGCAGUUAAAAAGCUCGUAGUUGAAUUUCGGGAUUGACACAUCGGUCGUGCCUUAAGGGGUAUGAACUGGUGUAGUCAGUUUCUCACCUUCUGGAGAACCGCGAUGUCCUUAAUUGGGUGCCGCGAGGAACCAGGACCUUUACUUUGAAAAAAUUAGAGUGUUUAAAGCAGGCAUUUUGCUUGAAUACAUUAGCAUGGAAUAAUAAAAUAGGACGGAUGGUUCUAUUUUGUUGGUUUCCAGGAUCACCGUAAUGAUUAAUAGGGAUAGUUGGGGGCAUUAGUAUUCAAUUGUCAGAGGUGAAAUUCUUGGAUUUAUUGAAGACUAACUACUGCGAAAGCAUUUGCCAAGGAUGUUUUCAUUAAUCAAGAACGAAAGUUAGGGGAUCGAAGACGAUCAGAUACCGUCGUAGUCUUAACCAUAAACUAUGCCGACUAGGAAUCAGACGAUGUUAAUUUUUUAAUGACUCGUUUGGCACCUUGCGGGAAACCAAAGUGUUUGGGUUC
This 570-nucleotide ribosomal RNA is filed under the name uncultured Glomeromycotina. RNAcentral's name for it is "SSU rRNA". It matches the Rfam family "Eukaryotic small subunit ribosomal RNA", at positions 548 to 1114 of the family's 1831-position model. Lineage: Eukaryota; Fungi; Glomeromycota. The record is from RNAcentral.